AUGAACUGCGCGCAGCCUGAUCAGCAUGCCGCGUGGGUGAAGAAGGUCUUCGGAUCGUAAAGCCCUUUCGACAGGGACGAUGAUGACGGUACCUGUAGAAGAAGCCCCGGCUAACUUCGUGCCAGCAGCCGCGGUAAAUG
RNAcentral lists this ribosomal RNA (140 nucleotides) under uncultured bacterium. RNAcentral's name for it is "partial 16S ribosomal RNA". It matches the Rfam family "Bacterial small subunit ribosomal RNA", at positions 359 to 527 of the family's 1533-position model. The record is from RNAcentral.